CCUACGGUGAGCUGCCGUGAGGAAUAUUGGUCAAUGGACUAGAGUCUGAACCAGCCAAGUAGCGUGAAGGAUGACUGCCCUAUGGGUUGUAAACUUCUUUUAUAUGGGAAUAACAUGUUCCACGUGUGGGAUUUUGUAUGUACCAUAUGAAUAAGGAUCGGCUAACUCCGUGCCAGCAGCCGCGGUAAUACGGAGGAUCCGAGCGUUAUCCGGAUUUAUUGGGUUUAAAGGGAGCGUAGGUGGAUUGUUAAGUCAGUUGUGAAAGUUUGCGGCUCAACCGUAAAAUUGCAGUUGAAACGGGCAGGCUUGAGUACAGUAGAGGUGGGCGGAAUGCGUGGUGUAGCGGUGAAAUGCUUAGAGAGCACGAAGAACUCCGAUUGCGAAGGCAGCUCACUGGACUGCAACUGACACUGAUGCUCGAAAGUGUGGGUAUCAAACAGGAUUAGAUACCCCAGUAGUC
RNAcentral lists this ribosomal RNA (460 nucleotides) under uncultured bacterium. RNAcentral describes it as "partial 16S ribosomal RNA". It matches the Rfam family "Bacterial small subunit ribosomal RNA", at positions 338 to 795 of the family's 1533-position model. The record is from RNAcentral.